This 121-nucleotide small RNA is filed under the name Marmota monax (woodchuck). The record is from RNAcentral. Lineage: Eukaryota; Metazoa; Chordata; Mammalia; Rodentia; Sciuridae.
GCUGGGCAUGGUGGCCCAUAUCUGUAAUCCCAGCAGCUCUGGAGGCUGAGGCAGGAGAAUUGCAAGUUUUAAUCCAGGCUCAGCAACUUAGUGAAAGCAACACAGUGAAAUUCUAUCUCAA